Molecule: ribosomal RNA, 497 nt
Filed under: uncultured bacterium
Lineage: Bacteria
Description: partial 16S ribosomal RNA
Rfam family: Bacterial small subunit ribosomal RNA
Source: RNAcentral
GAUGAACGCUGGCGGCGUGCCUAAUACAUGCAAGUCGAGCGAACAGACGAGGAGCUUGCUCCUUUGACGUUAGCGGCGGACGGGUGAGUAACACGUAGGUAACCUACCUAUAAGACUGGGAUAACUUCGGGAAACCGGAGCUAAUACCGGAUAAUAUUUCGAACCGCAUGGUUCGAUAGUGAAAGUUGGCUUUGCUAUCACUUAUAGAUGGACCUGCGCCGUAUUAGCUAGUUGGUAAGGUAACGGCUUACCAAGGCAACGAUACGUAGCCGACCUGAGAGAGUGAUCGGCCACACUGGAACUGAGACACGGUCCAGACUCCUACGGGAGGCAGCAGUAGGGAAUCUUCCGCAAUGGGCGAAAGCCUGACGGAGCAACGCCGCGUGAGUGAUGAAGGUCUUCGGAUCGUAAAACUCUGUUAUUAGGGAAGAACAAACGUGUAAGUAACUGUGCACGUCUUGACGGUACCUAAUCAGAAAGCCACGGCUAACUACGUG